RNAcentral lists this ribosomal RNA (119 nucleotides) under Pteropus alecto (black flying fox). Lineage: Eukaryota; Metazoa; Chordata; Mammalia; Chiroptera; Pteropodidae. The record is from RNAcentral.
GUCUACGCCCAUGCCACCCUGAACAUGCCCGAUCCCAUCUGAUCUCAGAAGCUAAGCAAGAUUGGGCCUGGUUAGUACUUGGAUGGGAGACCACCUGGGAAGACCAGGUGCUGUAGGCG